CCCUUCCCAAACAUACCCUUAGUGCCAUUGGUGGCCUUGAAUUUACAGUGACAACAGCACCAAAAAGGACAGCACCAGAGAAAAGCAAAGCAAUGGCUGAAACUAGACAUCAGUACUGGUCAAUCCUCCUGCCUUCUGCUUCUUGUAAAUAGCUUGGAUUUGUAGCCUAGAUUGCCACUGGCUCGGUGUCUAAAUGCUUUCUAGUGCUGUUGCAUGAUGGAUUCGAGCAUAGUUGUUGAUGGUUUGCCCCCUUCUUCACCUGGUGAAAUCUUGAUUCUUAUUGUUCUCUUCCCGGCCCUUCCCCCACCAAAAAUUAGUGUCUCAUCCUUUUCAGGGGUUUUGGAUUGUUCCACUGGGCUGUUCAAGUUACGUGGAACUCGUUUGGCAUUGUUAUUUGAUUUGGUGUUAAAGUUUGGUUUUGAGUUAAAUUUUGGUUUUGAGUUAAUUAUGGCAUGUUAGCAACCUUUAAAGGGUGCCUUUCGUAAACCGAACGACCUUUGACCUGUUCCCUCUUAACUCACAUUUCCCUUCCUACCUUUCUCUUCCUCAUCGGUGUCACUCUCUGGUCACCUUUUGCCACAACUUAGAAACGUCACCUCUACUCCCUCCUCCUCCUCCUCUUUAAUCCAAUAUCCUUUGAAAUAACACACUGUGAUCCCAAACACACCAGCACCUAUUGCUGGAAGUGUUGAAUUUAACAGCGUCGAUUACAUGGGCCAAGUUGGUCGAGCCACUUAUAUGUUGAGAAGGUGCCCAUCAGGAAUUCCAAAAUCAAACAUCUCUCCGAUUUCACUAAUUAUUUCUCUUUCUUCAUUGUCAUCCAAGGUCGUAACCAGUAUGUCUCUGGGCUCGCUUUCUUCCUUGUUCCUGUUGGAUCUCACAUUCCACUAAAUUCUGGAGAAGGAGGUUUUAUGGGCCUAAACAACUCCAACAUUUAUUCCUUCCUUAUUUUCUGGAUAAGGAAGAAGUAGGGUGAACAGACAACAGAGAAAAUGAACUUAACAUCAAUGAACGAUGAGAUUGAAAGAGUAGCAGGUCCAAGAAGAUAAUUCUUACCAGGAUAAUUCUUAAAUUAUUCCAAACUUAAAUUU
This is a long non-coding RNA of Hevea brasiliensis (rubber tree), 1091 nucleotides long. RefSeq lists it as uncharacterized. NCBI's taxonomy places the organism in Eukaryota, Viridiplantae, Streptophyta, Magnoliopsida, Malpighiales, Euphorbiaceae. The record is from RefSeq and is a predicted model, not a curated record. The transcript is spliced from 2 exons.